Molecule: long non-coding RNA, 995 nt
Organism: Alligator sinensis (Chinese alligator)
Lineage: Eukaryota; Metazoa; Chordata; Crocodylia; Alligatoridae
Exons: 3
Source: RefSeq, a predicted model, not a curated record
CGCAACCCUUGCGUGAGAGAUGCUCAGCUGCUCCUCUCUCUGCGGCUUGCAGGGGACUAACCCCCCUCUGCCCCUCUCUGGGGUUGGAAAUACUUCUGGGCAGCCUCUCUUCUCCAAUCCUGAGUGAGAUGCUGCUCCAGAAGUGUGGUGAAUGUUUCUCUUCCCUUCCAGUCUCCAGCUGCAGCCCUGCCAGCCCUCCAUGCUAACCAUGACCAAAAGUCCAGGGGCAGGACGCUGCCUGCCAGACCCGAUGCCCAGGAUAUUCAGUGUCCUGGGUGAUAUUUAGUCAGAGAAGAAACUCAAGGAGACAGAAGCCUCAAGGAGACAGAGUGGUAGGUGAGUGGAAGUCAGAAGACAUGUACCGUAGUCCAAAUUUGCUGGGACAUGGCCAGUAACCAGGAGGAGGAUGAAAAGACUAAAAUAGGCCUGCAGAACCAUACUUGAGCUGAUGCUCGGGCCAAAGCCUGUGAAGAAAGUUCAGUUUCCUUUGUGGCCAGCAACAAUUUGAAAGUUACAAGGUGCAACGGAGAGGUGUAAGGCAGAGGUGGGCAAGUGGGGUGAAGAGCCUGUAGGCAUGGGCCUACUACCUGGACCCCAGGAGGGAAUUUGCUGGAGCACUUGGCCAGCAACCAAGAAGAAAGCCUCCACAUUUGUGGACAGCAACAAACCUGUACUUACAAUUCCAUAAUAUGCUCAUUAGCCAAUAGGGCCAGCAACCAGGAGGAGGGCUAGAAUAAUAUAAAAUGGAUCUGCAGAACUUGGACAACUCUUACCAUACUUGAGCUGAUGCUCGGGCCAAAGCUUGCAAAGAAAGCCUCCGUAAUUCAAGUAGUACACAGAAGAGAAGCCUCAGCAGUACUUGUAGCCAGCAACCAGGAGGAGGGUGAGAAUAAUACAAAAUGGACCUGCAGAACUUGUGCAACAAUUCAAGUUGACAGAAGAGAAACCCUAGCAGUACUAGUGCCCAUAACAAAUUAAAAUAUUAAAAUGUGUAA